UUCAGAUUUGGUGCAUUGUACUAACGAACCCAACGUAUCAAUCCCACAGCUAGCAAAUUUGUUGAUUGAAAGAUCACAAAACACAAACUGGAUAGUUGUAUAUAAAGCCUUAGUCACAGUCCAUCAUAUGAUGUGUUAUGGAAAUGAAAGAUUCACACAAUUUCUGGCGUCCAGCAAUAGUACGUUUCAACUGAGCAACUUUUUGGAUAAAGGUGGAGUUCAAGGAAUCCUUAGCGCUAGAGCUGGUAAGUUUUGU
This is a long non-coding RNA of Leptinotarsa decemlineata (Colorado potato beetle), 256 nucleotides long. The record is from RefSeq and is a predicted model, not a curated record. Lineage: Eukaryota; Metazoa; Arthropoda; Insecta; Coleoptera; Chrysomelidae.